Molecule: ribosomal RNA, 846 nt
Filed under: Thiara amarula
Lineage: Eukaryota; Metazoa; Mollusca; Gastropoda; Thiaridae
Description: partial large subunit ribosomal RNA
Rfam family: Bacterial large subunit ribosomal RNA
Source: RNAcentral
UACACAAUGAAUAUAUUAGAUUAAGAAUGAUAAGAUUACAAUCAUUGUUAAUUUAAGUUCUGUUGGACUUUUUUGAGGAUAAGCUCGAAAAUUGCUGUUGAGAACUAUAUAAUUUAAAAUUAUUGUAUAGGCCUAAAAUUAGCCACUACGAGAGUUUGUUAUAAAACAAUAAGAAUACAUAAGAAUAUUAUUAUAUAUAAUGCCAUAUAAAGCUAUAAGAAUAAUAACCUAAAUUUAUAGGUUAGUAUGCCUAUGCUAGGAUGAGUAUUAAAACUAUUUAAGUUGAAAGAGAUAUUUCCUAAACUAAUAUUUUCUAUACUAAUUAAGGAGAAGGAAUUCGGCAAAUGUUGUUCCGCCUGUUUAUCAAAAACAUGGCUCUUUGAGGAAACCAUAUAAAGAGUCGAACCUGCCCAGUGAAUAAUUUUAACGGCCGCGGUACCCUGACCGUGCAAAGGUAGCAUAAUCAUUUGCCUUAUAAUUGAAGGCUGGCAUGAAUGGUCUGACGAGAGCAACACUGUCUCCUCUUUAUUACUUAAAAAUUAACUUAUAGGUGAAGAGGCCUAUAUUAAAUUGAAGGACAAGAAGACCCUGUCGAGCUUAAAAGAAAAGUUAGAAGUUAGCUAUUAAAUAAAAAUCAAUAAACUAUGUAGCUUUUUAGUUGGGGCGACUAAGGAACAAGUAAAGCUUCUUUUAUUUUAAUAAAUUUACAGAUUUGGAUCCAGCAAAGCUGAUCAAAGAAAUUAGUUACCGCAGGGAUAACAGCAUAAUCUCCUUUGAGAGACCUAAUCGAAAGGGGGGGUUGUGACCUCGAUGUUGGACUAGAAUAUCCUGAAGAUGCAGACGUCU